Long non-coding RNA from Pan paniscus (pygmy chimpanzee), 1877 nucleotides. NCBI's taxonomy places the organism in Eukaryota, Metazoa, Chordata, Mammalia, Primates, Hominidae. The record is from Ensembl.
AAUGUUGAGUCUUCUGGAGUUCUUCAACUCAAAAUUAAGUGCCCACUUUUGUCUCCUUUCUAUUUCUAGGAUUUCUUUUCUCCUUGAGAAGUAGAUAGAGGAUCUGAGGACAGCAGCCAUAAGUCAUGGCCUGCUUUGAAGACCAGCAGAUGGGAGAGAUAGGCAUCCUGAGACAUUCUUUCUUUGGUAUCCUCAACACUACUAUCAAUAUAUUUGUUGGAAGGGGCAUGAUGAUGCUGCAAAAAAAUCAGCAUAUUACCUUGAACCUCACAAAGACUGGACUAGGACCUGCAGACUUCUGUUCAGUUCCAGAUUAUUUGGAGGGCCUGAAGAGACCCUUGGGGUCAUGGGCAUCAGAAGAUUCCCUGACAACUGAUCUGGGCAUCACAUCAUGCAUGCAAAGGAAGAUUUAACAGCACCACAGCAGAGCCAUGCAUAGGAGCACAUAAUCAUUCAAGCUCCAGGACAUGAGAGGGGAAGGAAUCAUCAGCUCUGGGAAGGGCAAAUUCCAGAGGACCUUCUAGAGGUGACCCUAGAGCCAUGUUAAAGAUGGAGAGGGACUGUACCUUUGGCAGAAGUCGCAGAGAGGAAGACAUCAGCACUGGGAGACCUGGAGAGUGCAAGGACAAGGAGAAGAGAAUGCUGAGGCACUGUGCUGAUGAGUGGUAAGGGUCUGCUCCCGUGGGUGGACAGGUUGAAGGCGGCCUUGAUGAUCAGGCAGAAGUGGAUGGGCUUGAUAAAUGAGCUAUGAACCAGUGCAACGUACCCUGGCAAGAGAAACACUGUAAAUGUGGUGUUUAAGGUAGCUAUUUGGAGAAUAUUUGUUUUUGGUCUUUGAACAAGUAACUAGGAAAAAUAUUUAACUUUUUAUUUUGAAGUAAACUUACAGGAAAGUUGCAAACAUACUACAGAGAUUUCUCAUUUACCUUUCACUCAGCUUCCCCAAUAACAUGUCACAUACCAUAAUACUAUUACCAAACCCAGCAAAUCAGCAUUGGUAAACUAUUAUUAAAUAAUUUGCAGACGUUAUUCAAAUUCCUACAGUUUUCCCACUACUCUCUGUUGUUUUACUGGUCCGGGAUCCAAUCCAGGAUUCCACUUUGCAUGUAGUGAUUAUGUCUCCUUCGUCUUCUCCACACUGAGACAUUUCUUCAGGUUUUCUUUGUCUUUCAUGACCUUGACACUUUUGGAGAGUCCAGACUAGUUAUUUUGUGGAAUGUCCCUCAGUUUGGGUUUGUCUGGUGUUUUCUUAUGAUUAGAUUGAGAUUGUGGAUUUUUGGCAAGAAUACCACUGAAGCGAUGAUGUCUUCUGGGCACACCUCACCAAUGGGUACAUGGUAUCAGUAUGUCUUAUUAUUGGUGAUAUUAAUUUUGAUCAUAUGGCCAAAAUAGGCCUACCAAGUUUCUGCAAUGUGAAGUUACUAUUAGGAAAAAAAAUGGUUUGAAAUCACAUUUCAUGGGAUCUUAUUAAAUUCUUACAGAUUGAUCUGAUUAUGUAUUUGUCUUUAAAAUGGGUUGCUCAUUCAGUCAUUCAGUUAUUACUUACUGAGGACUUACUAUGUGUCAGGCAUUGUGCUGGAAAUGGCCGUGAACAAGACAGAUGGGGUCCCCACCCUUGUGGAAUCUAGUGGGAGAAAACAUUAAACUGAACAUCACCAGGUUGGAGUAGAAACACGUAACAAGGAGCUGUAAGUAGUUUGAGAGUAGGGAAAUGCAUGGUGGCAGGGUCAGGGGAAGAUGGUGAAGCUGAGACCUGAGGGGCAAUGAGAGUUAUUCAGGGGGAGGGGGAUUGACUCUUAGGUGGGAGUUCCUUUCUGACUAUUUUUUAGCUUCCAUUUUUAAUUAGAGAAAUUUAUAUUCAUUAUUAGAAAACAAAU